Molecule: ribosomal RNA, 467 nt
Filed under: uncultured bacterium
Lineage: Bacteria
Description: partial 16S ribosomal RNA
Rfam family: Bacterial small subunit ribosomal RNA
Source: RNAcentral
GACGAACGCUGGCGGCGUGCUUAACACAUGCAAGUCGAACGGAAAGGCCCUGCUUUUGUGGGGUGCUCGAGUGGCGAACGGGUGAGUAACACGUGAGUAACCUGCCCUUGACUUUGGGAUAACUUCAGGAAACUGGGGCUAAUACCGGAUAGGAGCUCCUGCUGCAUGGUGGGGGUUGGAAAGUUUCGGCGGUUGGGGAUGGACUCGCGGCUUAUCAGCUUGUUGGUGGGGUAGUGGCUUACCAAGGCUUUGACGGGUAGCCGGCCUGAGAGGGUGACCGGCCACAUUGGGACUGAGAUACGGCCCAGACUCAUACGGGAGGCAGCAGUGGGGAAUAUUGCACAAUGGGCGGAAGCCUGAUGCAGCAACGCCGCGUGCGGGAGGACGGCCUUCGGGUUGUAAACCGCUUUCGCCUGUGACGAAGCGUGAGUGACGGUAAUGGGGAAAGAAGCACCGGCUAACUACGU